UCCUACGGGAGGCAGCAGUGGGGAAUAUUGGACAAUGGGCGCAAGCCUGAUCCAGCCAUACCGCGUGUGUGAAGAAGGCCUUCGGGUUGUAAAGCACUUUAAGCAGGGAGAAAAAGUUAUAAGUUAAUACCUUAUAACCGUGAUGUUACCUGCAGAAUAAGCACCGACUAAUUCCGUGCCAGCAGCCGCGGUAAU
RNAcentral lists this ribosomal RNA (195 nucleotides) under uncultured Gammaproteobacteria bacterium. Its description in RNAcentral is "partial 16S ribosomal RNA". It matches the Rfam family "Bacterial small subunit ribosomal RNA", at positions 337 to 524 of the family's 1533-position model. The record is from RNAcentral. Lineage: Bacteria; Pseudomonadati; Pseudomonadota; Gammaproteobacteria.